This 494-nucleotide ribosomal RNA is filed under the name uncultured bacterium. RNAcentral's name for it is "partial 16S ribosomal RNA". It matches the Rfam family "Bacterial small subunit ribosomal RNA", at positions 28 to 507 of the family's 1533-position model. The record is from RNAcentral.
GACGAACGCUGGCGGCGUGCUUAACACAUGCAAGUCGAACGGAAAGGCCUGCUUUCCCUUGUGGAUUGCGGGUACUCGAAUGGCGAACGGGUGAGUAACACGUGAGUGAUCUGCCCCCAACUUGGGUAUAAGCCUGGGAAACUGGGUCUAAUUCCCGAUAGGACUGCAGGGUGGUGCCUGUGGUGGAAAACGAUUUUCUAGUGGUUGGGGAUGAGCUCGCGGCCUAUCAGCUUGUUGGUGGGGUAAUGGCCUACCAAGGCGGCGACGGGUAGCCGGCCUGAGAGGGUGGACGGCCACAUUGGGACUGAGAUACGGCCCAGACUCCUACGGGAGGCAGCAGUGGGGAAUAGUGCACAAUGGGCGGAAGCCUGAUGCAGCGACGCCGCGUGGGGGAUGACGGCCUUCGGGUUGUAAACUCCUUUCGACCGCGAGGAAGCCACCUGGUUGGAAGGGUGGUGACGGUAGUGGUAGAAGAAGCACCGGCUAACUACGUG